Molecule: ribosomal RNA, 193 nt
Filed under: Pseudomonas aeruginosa
Lineage: Bacteria; Pseudomonadati; Pseudomonadota; Gammaproteobacteria; Pseudomonadales; Pseudomonadaceae
Description: partial 16S ribosomal RNA
Rfam family: Bacterial small subunit ribosomal RNA (bases 41-193)
Source: RNAcentral
UGAGCCAAGUUUAGGGUUUUCUCAAAACCCAAGCAGUAUUGAACUGAAGAGUUUGAUCAUGGCUCAGAUUGAACGCUGGCGGCAGGCCUAACACAUGCAAGUCGAGCGGAUGAAGGGAGCUUGCUCCUGGAUUCAGCGGCGGACGGGUGAGUAAUGCCUAGGAAUCUGCCUGGUAGUGGGGGAUAACGUCCGG